GCCCAGACUCCUACGGGAGGCAGCAGUGAGGAAUAUUGGUCAAUGGCCGGAAGGCUGAACCAGCCAUGCCGCGUGAAGGUCAGUGCCCUAUGGGCGUUAAACUUCUUUUGUGCGGGAGCAAUAAUGGUCACGUGUGGCCAGACGAGAGUACCGUACGAAUAAGCAUCGGCUAACUCCGUGCCAGCAGCCGCGGUAAUACGGGGGAUGCAAGCGUUAUCCGGAUUUAUUGGGUUUAAAGGGAGCGUAGAUGGGUUGUUAAGUCAGUUGUGAAAGUUUGCGGCUCAACCGUAAAAUUGCAAUUGAUACUGGCAGCCUUGAGUACAGUUGAGGUAGGCGGAAUUCGUGGUGUAGCGGUGAAAUGCUUAGAUAUAACUUAGAACUCCGAUAGCGAAGGCAGCUUACCAGACUGCGACUGACGCUGAAGCACGAGAGCGUGGGUAGCGAACAGGAUUAGAUACCCUUGUAG
Molecule: ribosomal RNA, 466 nt
Filed under: uncultured bacterium
Lineage: Bacteria
Description: bacterial SSU rRNA
Rfam family: Bacterial small subunit ribosomal RNA
Source: RNAcentral